Molecule: ribosomal RNA, 441 nt
Filed under: uncultured bacterium
Lineage: Bacteria
Description: partial 16S ribosomal RNA
Rfam family: Bacterial small subunit ribosomal RNA
Source: RNAcentral
CCUACGGGAGGCAGCAGUGGGGGAUAUUGCACAAUGGGGGAAACCCUGAUGCAGCGACGCCGCGUGGGUGAAGAAGUAUUUCGGUAUGUAAAGCCCUAUCAGCAGGGAAGAAAGAAGACGGUACCUGACUAAGAAGCCCCGGCUAACUACGUGCCAGCAGCCGCGGUAAUACGUAGGGGGCGAGCGUUAUCCGGAUUCACUGGGUGUAAAGGGAGCGUAGACGGCCGUGCAAGCCAGGAGUGAAAGCCCGGGGCCCAACCCCGGGACUGCUCUUGGAACUGUGCGGCUGGAGUGCGGGAGGGGCAGGCGGAAUUCCUGGGGUAGCGGUGAAAUGCGUAGAUAUCAGGAGGAACACCGGCGGCGAAGGCGGCCUGCUGGACCGCGACUGACGUUGAGGCUCGAAAGCGUGGGGAGCGAACAGGAUUAGAUACCCUGGUAGUC